GGAAAUUUAACUUUUAAAGAGUGUGCUGAUUCGUUAAAAUUUAUGACAAAUGGUAAAAGUCCAGGUUCUGAUGGGUACACAGUAGACUUUUAUAAAUUUUUUUGGAAAGAUAUUGGUCCUUUCAUCUUUCGGUCUCUUCAUUUUGGAUAUGAGGUUGGAAAAUUUUCUGAUUUUCAGUAUCAAAGUGUAAUUACAUGCAUUCCUAAGGAGGGGAAAGACAGACAGUAUAUAAGUAACUGGCGCCCUAUUGGUCUGUUGAAUACUGAUAUGAAAAUAGCUUCUGCUGUUAUAGCUAAUAGAC
Molecule: long non-coding RNA, 301 nt
Filed under: Mytilus galloprovincialis (Mediterranean mussel)
Lineage: Eukaryota; Metazoa; Mollusca; Bivalvia; Mytilida; Mytilidae
Source: RNAcentral